Molecule: ribosomal RNA, 145 nt
Filed under: uncultured marine bacterium
Lineage: Bacteria
Description: partial 23S ribosomal RNA
Rfam family: Bacterial large subunit ribosomal RNA
Source: RNAcentral
GGAUCAAAUCAAGCGCGAAAAGGGCGUUUGGUGGAUGCCUUGGCAGUAAGAGGCGAUGAAAGACGUGAUACUCUGCGAUAAGCCAUGGGGAGCUGAGAAUAAGCUUUGAUCCAUGGAUUUCCGAAUGGGGCAACCCAAGGGCGAA